AUACGUAGGGUGCGAGCGUUGUCCGGAAUUACUGGGCGUAAAGAGCUCGUAGGUGGUUUGUCGCGUCGUCUGUGAAAUUCCGGGGCCUAACUCCGGGCGUGCAGGCGAUACGGGCAUAACUUGAGUACUGUAGGGGAGACUGGAAUUCCUGGUGUAGCGGUGAAAUGCGCAGAUAUCAGGAGGAACACCGGUGGCGAAGGCGGGUCUCUGGGCAGUAACUGACGCUGAGGAGCGAAAGCAUGGGUAGCGAACAGGAUUAGAUACCCUGGUAGUCCAUGCCGUAAACGGUGGGCGCUAGGUGUAGGGGUCUUCCACGACUUCUGUGCCGUAGCUAACGCAUUAAGCGCCCCGCCUGGGGAGUACGGCCGCAAGGCUAAAACUCAAAUGAAUUGGCGGGG
This 398-nucleotide ribosomal RNA is filed under the name uncultured bacterium. Its description in RNAcentral is "partial 16S ribosomal RNA". It matches the Rfam family "Bacterial small subunit ribosomal RNA", at positions 523 to 918 of the family's 1533-position model. The record is from RNAcentral.